RNAcentral lists this long non-coding RNA (1835 nucleotides) under Anas platyrhynchos platyrhynchos (common mallard). RNAcentral's name for it is "lncRNA (ENSAPLG00000022273.1)". The record is from RNAcentral. Lineage: Eukaryota; Metazoa; Chordata; Aves; Anseriformes; Anatidae.
UACUCAGAACAGGAAACCCUGGUGGUGCUACUUCCCUGUGAAGUUGUUCGGCAGUCAGUCAAAUUCAGAAGCUGGCAGGUAAGUGUCCCUGGGUUAAAAAUGUGAUUUGGGUUGGGGAGCUUGAGGACUUCUUUGACCUACUCUGUUUCCUAUGAACUUACUUAGAUGGAUUCUCAGCGGUCCCCAGUCCUGGUCCGCAGUCCUGGUCCCAUGUGCCCUGAUGGGCAAAACUUGGGGAAGGGAAGGGCAGGGGAAGGCUGCAGAGGAAAAUGCUGGAGCCUGUGAGGAGAAGGUGUCAUGUGGAGGACAGAAACGGUGUGGCGUUGUCCUUGAGACACCUCGAGCACACAACUCGCCCUCGAACCUAGAUCUGCUCCUGAGCUGAAUGACCUGUGCUUCCAGCAGGCUGGCGGGGGGUGCCGCUCCCUUCCCUGCUCCAGGCUCCUUUUUCUCUUCUCUUGGUGCAGCUCUGGAGCAGUGGGCCAAAGUGGUCAACGUUUACAUCUGCACCUGGAAAGGAUGCUCCUUGCCUGCUACGGAGAAGGAGCAGCUCUACGAAAGCCUUUCCCAGGUGUUGUGCUCUGUGGCAAGCACCUUGCUGGACUGCCAGGAGGAAGAGGACAAGCAAGCUGUCAUCGGGGCCAUGACUCCCUUGAUGCGUGUCCUCCUGCACAAGGAGGAGCACUGGGAGCAGCUCCUCUGGCUCCUGCACCAGGACCGGACGGUCCAAGACGCCUCCAGGGUGACCAAGGUGACGUGUGGCGCAGGGCCUGGCACGGCCAUGGGGUCUGUGCAAGUGGCACGAGGGCUCAGGGAGCUGUGGCAUGCAGGGAGGAGCCAGGGAGAUCCCCUUAGAGAAACGAGCAGAAGGCAGAGCUGAGCCAGUGCAUCCUGCUGCAAGCUUGCAUCUGCCCAGAGGAGACGAUCCUGUUCCUGGAGUCCCAGCUGGGCCACGAGAGGGAGGCCGUGCGCGUGGCAGCCCUGGGUCUGCUUGGUGCUCUGGCACGCUGUGACGGUCAGUACUGCGGGGUCAGGGCUUGGAGGGCUCUCUUCCGCCCUCUGGGCUGUGCCUCCACGCAUGCCUCACUGGCUCUCUUGCAGAGCCCACGAUGGCAGAGAAGCUGCCCCAGGUGGUGGAGGCUGUCAAGCGUGUGUGCAGGGACCCCAGCAUCCGGGUGAGCUGCUUUGGGAAGGGACUGUGCCGUCGGGGUGGGAGAGAAACCUUUUCCCUCAGGGCAGAGGCAGAGCCUGGCAAGGCUGGACUAGAAGGGCUCGGACCUAUCCAGCCAUUUCCCCGCUCCUUCGUGUUUACCGGAGGGAGGGCUGACGGCCAGAGGUGAUGCCGCUGCCAGCAUGGGCAGGUCCCCGUGUCCCUGUGCUAAGCACACUUGACCCCUGGCAGGUGAGGAGGGCAGUUCUGCACUUCAUCAGGGAGCUGCUCAGUGCCAAUGCCCAGAGCUGCUCAGCAUGGGACGUUGUGGGCUACAUCUUCAGCGAGUUCAGCCAGAGCUCAAGCAGAAGGGUAAGGACAGCGUGCAACAUCUUCCCUGGGGAGAUCUGCUGCCAGGAGGCUGGCAUGGGAGCCUGCUGGGGCCACGCCUGAGCCUUCUGGGGCAGGAACUGAGAGCAAGCGGGGCAGGGGGUUCCCAAUGUUGUCUUGCAGGCUGUGGGACUCCUGUCUGCCCAGGAAGAAGGAGCUCUCCAAGGGCUGUGCAUGGAUGUCCUGGGGUCCCUGGACAUCUCUGAGAGGGAUGGCCAAAGUAAGUCCUCCUCUGUCCUGUUGCUGCUGCUGCUCCUCUCCUCUCUUCAGGCCAUUUGUUCCUAGCCCCCUUUGC